Molecule: long non-coding RNA, 3462 nt
Organism: Rhineura floridana
Lineage: Eukaryota; Metazoa; Chordata; Lepidosauria; Squamata; Rhineuridae
Exons: 3
Source: RefSeq, a predicted model, not a curated record
CUAGAGGUGUCCAAAGACUUUUGCUGAAGGAACACAAGAAUAUAAGAAGAGCCCUGCUGAAUCAGAUCAAAGGCCCAUCUAGUCCAGAACUCUGUUCUCCCAGUGGCUGACCAGAUGCCGUGGGAAGCCCACAUGCAGAAUCUGAGCACAACAGCACUUUCCCCACCUUGCAAGCUCCCUCUGAGCUGCUGAGGCCCACAAGCACAACAUCCCCCAGAUGGUGGUCCGCCCACCCUUCCAAGUUGUACACUCCACUAUUGCCACCACCAGGAGCGGUGAGGAGCGCUUUCUAUUGCUUCCUGUUACCUGCAGUAGACCAAACACUCCAUGUGGUUGAUCUCCUGGUCUGAACGGUAUCGGCUGUAAUCUUCCCACAAGUCCUUGAGAGCGGUGACCGCCAGGAUGAAGAGGACGGGGGCCAAAGCCAGCUCAGGCUGGAAGGCAUUGACGGCGGGCACAAAGUUGAGCAGGGCAAUGAAGACAAAGUAAACAUUGGCCAGGCGAUGGAACUGCUCAAACAGGUUCUUGGGCAAGAAGGACAGAGUGGUGUAUUUGGUUGUCUUAAGCCUGUUGUUGGCUGGGGAAGGAGUGGGGUGCUCUCCUUCAGGCCAGGCUGCCAGCAAGUUGGAACACACCCUUCGUGUCUGGCAUGCCUCUUUCUUCUUCUUCCUCCUCCUCCUCCUCCUCUUCCUUUCUUUUUCCACCUUCUGCUCUUGAGAAGAUUCCCCUCCACCAUUGCCUGGUGUCAUGGUCUUCUCACCCGGCACACACACAAAAACAAAACAGAAAAGCAAAGUUAGAACUUAUCCUGCGUUUUCCCAGCAGCACGCGGAGAAAGUGACCAACCCUCUUUCUCUCCCUCCCUUCCUCCCUCCCUCCCUUUGCACUAUGUGAUCAUCUUCUGAAGUUUCAGUCAUGCCCUUACUUUUUUCCCCCCUAAGUGAAGGGAGAGGCAAGUGUGGAUCUUCUCUCUGCCCCCUAGAAAACUUUGUUUAGAAUCAGGAUCGAUCUCUUUCUCUUUCCUCCCCCCUCCCCCAGUUUAGAAGGAUGGUCUCUUUUUCCAAACUUUCUCCUUCGCUUCUUGCUGCCGACAGCCAGGCGACUGAAUGACUGCCCCUGUGGUCGGGGCUCCUAAGCGCUCGGGAGACGACUCGCACAAAGUAACCCUUGUCUUUGUAUGUCAUUUCUCACCAACUCGUUUCCGCUUCACCGCCGCGAACAGGGGCUUUGAUUACGGGAGAGAAGGGAAGGGACCGAAGAAAGCAGCAGCAGCCGGCACGCUGGAGAUGGGGUAAAGAGUUGCACUCAUACCGCGUCAUGUGGGGAAGGCUCUGGAAACUCCCUGAAAAGGGGUGGGAAGCCGGGAGGAGGGCAGAAAAGUUCCCUAAAUAUUAACCACGGAGAAUACGGCAGGAGAGAAAAAGACAGGUAUAAAGUUAAGCCGGGAGGGAAGGGGCGCAGCAGCGUGCGUGUGCCCGUGGGAAGUUUACACAUCACGCGCAACCCGAUCCUAGGUAGGUUUCCGCGGGAAUCAGCCUCCCGCUGCGUUCAAUGGGGCUAACGCCCAACCCAAGUUAAACACACACGGGCUGCUUUAUUGGGCCAUCCUGUAUCAAUUCUACUCAGGAGUAAGGCCCACUGAGUUCAAAUUGGAACUUUGCCCCCAGGGAAGGGUGAGGAUCGCAGCCUCGUUUCCCUAAUGCAGGGUGGCUAACCACGUUGUCGGGCUCCAGCACCCAUCAGCCCCAGCCAGCGAGGCGAGCGUGCAGGGAUGAUGGGAGUUGUAGUCCGACAACAUCUGGCGGGCAACAUGAUUCUCCAUCUCUGUCCUGAUGGAUUCAAGAGAAGCCUGGCUGCUGCUUCUCCCAAGAUUACAUUUAAAGGGGUUGUCCCAGAAUUUCCAGGACACCUCCGGAGUCCGGACGGAGGGGAAGAGAUUUUGUUAAAACGUUUUGUCUUCAAAGAGCUCGGCUACGAGCGCAAACGUUUUCAAUGACGACCCCCCCUCCCUUUGAACUCACAAUGCCGCAUUUCUCCUACCUACAGGGUUGUUUUAACACUCUUUUUUUCCUUUUUGGUCCCGAAACUUUCCGCCCACGUAUUGACGCACAUACAGAGAAACAUUUCAACGUCUUCAAGCUGUGUGCCUCUUUCCUGGAACGAGACUCCUCCCCGCCAGCCCCCCCCCCCGAACUUCUCGUUCAGUUUCGAAUUACUAAAAGUGAGAAGAAAAUCAAGCGAGCAGACGGGGCGGGGAAACUGAUGCCAGACAGGCGUUAAUCUGCAUGUUAUAAACAGACGCACAGCCAAGAGCAGAAACCACAGACCUCAGCCACCGGUUAAGUGGGAGCCCGGAGGCGAUCUUUAUGGAUUGGUGGCUGUUUGCAGCACAAUCCUAUGCAUGUUUAUUCGGUAGUAAGUCCCCGCGGAUUCAGUGGGGUCUCUUAAUUCCCUGAGCAUACUGGAGAAGAGAAGACUGAGGGGAGAUAUGAUAGCACUCUUCAAGUACAUGAAAGGUUGUCACAUAGAGGAUCAUCCCAGAGUGCAGGACACGGAAUAAUGGGCUCAAGUUGCAGGAAGCCAGAUUUCGGCUGGACAUCAGGAAAAACUUCCUAACUGUUAGAGCCAUACAACAAUGGAACCAAUUACCUAAAGAGGUAGAGGGCUCUCUGAAACUGGAGGCAUUCAAGAGGCAGCUGGACAGCUAUCUGUUGGGAAUGCUUUGAUUUGGAUUCCUGCAUUGAGCAGGGGGUUGGACUUGAUGGCCUUAUAGGCCCCUUCCAACUCUACUAUUCUAUUAUUCUAUGAUCAUUUGCUCUGUAUUUUAUAAUUUUAUGAUUUUUUAUGAUUUUAUUGUGUACCACCAUGAUAUUUUGUAAUGAGAUGGCCAUUUAUAAAUACUGUUAUAAAUAAAAUAAAUACAUAAGAUCCAGGCAUUAUGUGCCAUUCUGUCCUGUACAGUGCUUAGUAUGGCAUUGGCAUCCUAAAUCUGUGUUAAUAAGUAGCAGCGAGACAUAUACAAUUAGCAGCCAUAGCAAAGGAUCCAGGAUGCUCUGAUCUUUCAGAAUAAGAUGGGUGGGACUUGUAAAAGGAACGGUUUUGACCUAUAAAGCUCUAUAUGGACUAGGUCCAGGCUAUUUGUCAGACCGUAUCUCCCUAUAUGAGCCUGCCCGGGCGUUGAGAUCCUCAGGAGAGGCCCUUCUCUCAGUCCCAACACCUUCGCAAGCGUGAUUGGUGGGGACAUGAGAUAGGGCCUUCUCGGUGGCUGCACCCACGUUCUGGAACUCUCUUCCUAGGGGAGCACGAAUGGCCCCUUCCUUGCUAUCCUUCCAUCAGCAGGCAAAGACUUUUUUAUUCCAACUGGCUUUUGGACUAGAAGAUGUUUAAGAUAGGGCCUCAUAAGGUCUAUUGUAUUGUUCUAUGGUCCUAUUCUUAAUGUUUUAAAUUGUCUUAGUAUCUUAA